RNAcentral lists this ribosomal RNA (460 nucleotides) under uncultured bacterium. RNAcentral's name for it is "partial 16S ribosomal RNA". It matches the Rfam family "Bacterial small subunit ribosomal RNA", at positions 338 to 795 of the family's 1533-position model. The record is from RNAcentral.
CCUACGUGAGGCAGCAGUGAGGAAUAUUGGUCAAUGGACGCAAGUCUGAACCAGCCAUGCCGCGUGCAGGAAGACGGCUCUAUGAGUUGUAAGCAGCUUUUGUGCGGGGGUAAACGCAGAUACGCGUAUCUGUCUGAAAGUAUCUUACGCGUAGAGGUCGGCUAACUCCGUGCCAGCAGCCGCGGUAAUACGGAGGAUUCAAGCGUUAUCCGGAUUUAUUGGGUUUAAAGGGUGCGUAGGCGGUCGGAUAAGUUAGAGGUGAAAUCCCGAGGCUCAACUUCGGAAUUGCAUCUGAUACUGUUCGGCUAGAGAGUAGUUGCGGUAGGUGGAAUGUAUGGUGUAGCGGUGAAAUGCUUAGAGAUCAUACAGAACACCGAUUGCGAAGGCAGCUUACCAAGCUACUUCUGACGUUGAGGUACGAAAGCGUGGGGAGCAAACAGGAUUAGAUACCCGUGUAGUC